RNAcentral lists this ribosomal RNA (361 nucleotides) under uncultured bacterium. RNAcentral describes it as "bacterial SSU rRNA". It matches the Rfam family "Bacterial small subunit ribosomal RNA", at positions 28 to 372 of the family's 1533-position model. The record is from RNAcentral.
AGCGAACGCUGGCGGCGUACUUAACACAUGCAAGUCGAACGGGGAUCAUCGGGUUAGCAAUAACUCGGUGGUCCUAGUGGCGCACGGGUGAGUAACACGUGGGUAACCUGCCCUGGAGACCGGGAUACCCCCUCGAAAGGGGGGCUAAUACCGGAUACGUUCCCUGGAUCGAGAGGUCUGGGGAGGAAAGGUGGCGAAAGCUGCCGCUCUUGGAGGGGCUCGCGGCCUAUCAGCUAGUUGGCGGGGUAACGGCCCACCAAGGCUAUGACGGGUAGCUGGUCUGAGAGGACGACCAGCCACACGGGGACUGAGACACGGCCCCGACUCCUACGGGAGGCAGCAGUGGGGAAUUUUCCGCAAU